AAGCCUGUGUUUGAAAAAGGAAAAACGGUUGAGUCAAAUGGAAAAACCGAUCAAAUACUUCAUUUUUUUCUGGCAUUUUCCCUUGUCUCACUCUAAAUUUUUUUGGAGAUAUACUUGGAGCAACAGAAUUACAAGGUCCAACAAGUUUCUACUAUCGUGAUCUAGGCUGCAACCAAUAAUUUCAAUGAGAAAAGUAAACUUGGAGAAGGAGGUUUUGGAGAUGUAUACAAGAGUUUGCUGAAAAAUGGAAAAACAGUUGCAGUAAAAAGGUUGGUAGUUAUGGAAACAAGCAGGGCCAAAGCUGAUUUUGAAAGUGAGGUGAAGUUGAUUAGCAAUGUUCAUCAUCGGAAUCUUGUCCGGCUUCUUGGUUGUUCUCGGAAAGGUUCUGAGUUCCUACUUGUUUAUGAAUACAUGGCUAAUUAUCUGGUUCUUACUCUUAGUGUCACUUUUGUGCAAUAGUGUAGCACCCUUUCACGCAAUCAUUAGUUAAUCAUUUAAUACCUUUUUAGCUUGGUUUUUGUAGCUCCAUUUUAUUCAGGUUCAAGGAAAUAAAGUUGUGUGUUUCAUGUUCAGUCUAGGACGAUAGGUUCAGUCUACAGAUGCAACUCAGCUGAUUUCAAUGAAAAAAAAAGGAUAAUGAUAAGCGGUGCGAGAAUGUACAUUCAUGAUUAGAUAGGUUUAGGAGAUAAUUUUCUUAUGAUUAGCUCUAAAUGAAAUAUAUGUAUAUGGAUUUGAUCUACCAUUUUAUUAAGUGUAUGGAGAUGCUAUGGUUACUAAUUUGUGCUAACAUGUGAAAGUAGAAUUCAAGAACCGUGGGAAAAAGGAGGAAGAGAAUGAGAAGCGACAGUGUGAUGUUAUAAUCUUUAUAGAACUGAUUCUAUAAUACUGGUUCUAUAAAACUGAUUUUAAUUUAUAGAGCAAGUAUUGCUUGGACAAAUUGGUGCUCGAGUAAAGAAUUGGCCUCUGCACCUAACCAUCUAACUACUGUUGCUAGCAUACAAUCUGUGCCCCCCUCUCUGUGUCCAGGUACAUUCAGGUGGCAAGGUAGAGUUGAAGAGGAGAGGAAGCUUGCACUGGAUAGACAAGUAAAGAGCUUAUAUUGCUCCAAAAUUUAAUUGGACAACACUGAUGUUUUAUUGAAUAGCAAUCCAUGUGAAGGAUAUUAAACAAUCAAAUUUGCAGGAGAAAAAUCAGAGCUGAGUUAUGCUUUCGAAUGGCUCGAAGGAGAAAAAUCUGAGAACGUUUGGUUCAAUUUGUUGCCAACAAGAAUGUAAGAGAACUUGGAUUAAAUCCUGAAUUGACAUCCCUCUUGCACAUAUGGCAUAUAUUAUUUUCCUCAAGAAUGCUUGGUAUUGCUCGGGCUCCUGAUCUUAUCACAGCUCUAUAUGCAUUCUCAGCGGGCGUGAUCAUUUUAAUUGAAGUGAUCCAAAUCAUCAUCCAGCUGCUUGGAGGUCGGCGAUUCCGCAAGGGUGGCGGCAACCCGAGUCGCGGCGAGGAUGUCGGCGUGUCACUCCGGGCACGGCGCGGAUGGCGGCGCCUGGUGCAGCGGCCUUCUCGGAUUAGCGGGACGGCGCUGGCGUGGAUUGCGGCGGCCUUCUCGGCUCUACGAGACCGGCAGCAUCGAUCCGAGAUGGCGGCAACAGACACAGCGAGAAUGGCGAGUGCAGAUCCUUGGAGGUUCAAGUGGAAUUGGUACUUUCGCUAUUCAGAUUGCAAAGCACCUCGGAAUUAAGGAUUUUGUGACUGUAGGUUUGUUCACUGUAAUGGAAAUGAUAUUAACGGUAGUGUGAUUCCAUGAAGUGCACAUUUUUAGUAGAAGUGCACGAAGUUGAACUCUCUUCAGUAAAUAUUCAUUCGGUUCUUUUUUAAAAAAAUAUCAUUGCCACAUGUAAACAUUAACUAUGAUAUACAAUUCUUGUUUUCUGGUUUUUUUAAAA
RNA transcript from Panicum virgatum (switchgrass), 1937 nucleotides. RefSeq lists it as uncharacterized. The transcript is spliced from 5 exons. Lineage: Eukaryota; Viridiplantae; Streptophyta; Magnoliopsida; Poales; Poaceae. The record is from RefSeq and is a predicted model, not a curated record.